UUUUAACAAUGGUCACCUUAAGCUC
RNAcentral lists this non-coding RNA (25 nucleotides) under Rattus norvegicus (Norway rat). Lineage: Eukaryota; Metazoa; Chordata; Mammalia; Rodentia; Muridae. The record is from RNAcentral.